GUCUGACGGAGCACGCCGCGUGAGUGAUGAAGGUUUUCGGAUCGUAAAGCUCUGUUGUUAGGGAAGAACAAGUACGAGAGUAACUGCUCGUACCUUGACGGUACCUAACCAGAAAGCCACGGCUAACUACGUGCCAGCAGCCGCGGUAAUACGUAGGUGGCAAGCGUUGUCCGGAAUUAUUGGGCGUAAAGGGCUCGCAGGCGGUUUCUUAAGUCUGAUGUGAAAGCCCCCGGCUCAACCGGGGAAGGUCAUUGGAAACUGGGGAACUUGAGUGCAGAAGAGGAGAGUGGAAUUCCACGUGUAGCGGUGAAAUGCGUAGAGAUGUGGAGGAACACCAGUGGCGAAGGCGACUCUCUGGUCUGUAACUGACGCUGAGGAGCGAAAGCGUGGGGAGCGAACAGGAUUAGAUACCCUGGUAGUCCACGCCGUAAACGAUGAGUGCUAAGUGUUAGGGGGUUUCCGCCCCUUAGUGCUGCAGCUAACGCAUUAAGCACUCCGCCUGGGGAGUACGGUCGCAAGACUGAAACUCAAAGGAAUUGACGGGGGCCCGCACAAGCGGUGGAGCAUGUGGUUUAAUUCGAAGCAACGCGAAGAACCUUACCAGGUCUUGACAUCCUCUGACAACCCUAGAGAUAGGGCUUUCCCUUCGGGGACAGAGUGACAGGUGGUGCAUGGUUGUCGUCAGCUCGUGUCGUGAGAUGUUGGGUUAAGUCCCGCAACGAGCGCAACCCUUGAUCUUAGUUGCCAGCAUUCAGUUGGGCACUCUAAGGUGACUGCCGGUGACAAACCGGAGGAAGGUGGGGAUGACGUCAAAUCAUCAUGCCCCUUAUGACCUGGGCUA
This 841-nucleotide ribosomal RNA is filed under the name Bacillus sp. p10s-2. Its description in RNAcentral is "bacterial SSU rRNA". It matches the Rfam family "Bacterial small subunit ribosomal RNA", at positions 381 to 1216 of the family's 1533-position model. Lineage: Bacteria; Bacillati; Bacillota; Bacilli; Caryophanales; Bacillaceae. The record is from RNAcentral.